This 253-nucleotide ribosomal RNA is filed under the name uncultured bacterium. Its description in RNAcentral is "partial 16S ribosomal RNA". It matches the Rfam family "Bacterial small subunit ribosomal RNA", at positions 524 to 776 of the family's 1533-position model. The record is from RNAcentral.
UACAGAGGGUGCAAGCGUUGUUCGGAAUCAUUGGGCGUAAAGGGCGUGUAGGCGGCUUGUUAAGUCUGGUGUGAAAGCCCUCGGCUCAACCGAGGACGUGCAUUGGAUACUGGCAAGCUUGAGUACGGGAGGGGGAGGCGGAAUUCCCAGUGUAGAGGUGAAAUUCGUAGAUAUUGGGAGGAACACCCGUGGCGAAGGCGGCUUCCUGGACCGAUACUGACGCUGAGACGCGAAAGCGUGGGGAGCAAACAGG